Molecule: ribosomal RNA, 253 nt
Filed under: uncultured bacterium
Lineage: Bacteria
Description: partial 16S ribosomal RNA
Rfam family: Bacterial small subunit ribosomal RNA
Source: RNAcentral
UACAGAGGGGGCAAGCGUUAUUCGGAAUUAUUGGGCGUAAAGGGCGCGUAGGCGGCUUGGCAAGUGGGAGGUGAAAUCCCUCGGCUUAACCGAGGAACUGCCCUCCAAACUGCUUUGCUUGAGGCCGGGAGAGGUGAGUGGAAUUCCCAGUGUAGCGGUGAAAUUCGUAGAUAUUGGGAGGAACACCAGUGGCGAAGGCGGCUCACUGGACCGGAACUGACGCUGAGGCGCGAAAGCGUGGGGAGCAAACAGG